Long non-coding RNA from Carassius auratus (goldfish), 1754 nucleotides. RefSeq lists it as uncharacterized. The transcript is spliced from 3 exons. The record is from RefSeq and is a predicted model, not a curated record. Lineage: Eukaryota; Metazoa; Chordata; Actinopteri; Cypriniformes; Cyprinidae.
GCAGUCAGAUGAUGCUGAGCUCCACUCAUCGAUGACACACUUCUGUAUCUCAAAUCUAAGCAGAGAUGUGUUUGAGCUGCCCCUCAGAGAUGAACCCAGUCCAGCAGGAGAAUGGCUCAUGGGGAGGCAUGGAUCCUGCUGGACAGAGCGGCUUACAGCAGCGUGACUGCAGAUGGUCAACACUCUUCUCUCCACAGGAUCAUGAUGUAACACCUCUCCUCUCCUCUUAUCAACCAGAGCUGCUGGAAUCUCCUCCAGCUCCAGUGAUAGAGAGUACAUUUCUCCCGCAGGAAAGCGACGCGAUAACGCCGAGUUUGAGACAGAGAAGCGUCACUCACCGUGGCUGAAGAGCACAGUCCUCAACCGGCGGCUGACAGUCGAGUUUUCCAUCGCUCUCUAUCCGAAAGACCCUUCCGUCCACCUAGACACUCCUCUCCGGGGAAUCCAGCUCCUGGAGCUGCAGCGCUAGCGCGGACAGACGGCUGGAGUCUGCGCAGAGCGCGUCACCGAGCGCUUUAAACCCAGCACCGCGGCAGGCGUGACGUCACGCGCGCCGUCAAAACAAUCGCACAUGGGCGAGCCAAGAUUCUUUUGGAAUGUAAAAUGUUAAAAGGCCUGGCCAAAUCUUUACACAUUGUGUAUUAUGAAUGAACAACGUUAAAGAAGCACAUUUUAAAAUACUUCACAAAAUGUACUCAUUGCUAAUUUCAUGGACAUUGAUGAUUCGCGUUUUCUGUUACGCACACGAGGAAGACUUGUCUUUUAUAAUUGUGAUUUGACUUUCAGAUUUUAGUAAUGCCUUUUUUUAUUUGUGCAAAGAAAUGUUCUCUUUUUAAAUUAUGUUAUUUGUACUUAUUCACACACACACAAGCAAAAUUAUUAUGUUGAGAACGUUUAUAUUGCACGGUAAAUAUGCUAUUCAUAAACAAAAAUUUGCGAAAUGCAUACCACAAUGUAUUUUUAUUUAUUUUUUUUUAUUAGAAAAGGAAUCUUUGAAAAAUUAUCUAAUGCAAAUGAAUAACAAAAAUGCAAAUGAAUAACUGUCUUCAGAUCAAUAAAUGACAUUGUACUGCCACUGUAGCCAAAAGUGAAUUAUCUCAUUAGUGGACAGCUUGUGUUGAGUUCGUGUGAGAGACAGUGACGAGGCGAGAGACAGCAGGAGCAUCACUUUAUUCUGUCCUGAAUCACCUCCAUCAGGGACAGUGCCUUUAAAGUGCAGAGUCAUUUUCACAGCUUCAGUAAAACAUUAAAUCCCCGGAAACCAUAAACCUAAAACAUCAAACUGAACACGGAAACAAGGAACAUGAAGUAUCCAGAGCACAAAAGGAAAGCUCACUGGAACAGGUGAGCGAUGACGUCAUGAACUCGUCGAUGGCAAGGCUAGCGUUAAACAAAGGCACAGCGAUGUGGAGAGGUAAAGCAUGGCUUCCAGAAGGAAAGCUGCAGCAUUCUGUCAUUUCUCUCUGAUGUGUAUGAGUUUGUGAACAGAUAUGAAGCGUGACAUGACGUGACCUUCUUGGACAUCAGCAGGACCCUGAGCUGGACGUAUGUGUGUGUCCAGCCGUAGACUCACCACAGAAACACUUACACACUCAGCAUCAACUCUGCAAUGACCUUCACAGUAUGGCUUUGAGUUAAUGCCAAUACUGAGAUUGUUGUUUCCCAAUAUAAUCAACAGGGCUCCAAAAUUAAGAGUUCACCCAAAAAUGAAAAUUCUGUCUUUAAUUACUCAUCCUCAUGUCAUUCCAAACACA